This 373-nucleotide ribosomal RNA is filed under the name uncultured bacterium. RNAcentral's name for it is "bacterial SSU rRNA". It matches the Rfam family "Bacterial small subunit ribosomal RNA", at positions 527 to 896 of the family's 1533-position model. The record is from RNAcentral.
GUAGGGGGCGAGCGUUGUCCGGAUUUAUUGGGCGUAAAGAGCUCGUAGGCGGUUUGGCAAGUCGGGUGUGAAAACUCCGGGCUCAACUCGGAGACGCCACUCGAUACUGCCAUGACUCGAGUCCGGUAGGGGAGUGCGGAAUUCCUGGUGUAGCGGUGAAAUGCGCAGAUAUCAGGAGGAACACCGGUGGCGAAGGCGGCACUCUGGGCCGGUACUGACGCUGAGGAGCGAAAGCGUGGGGAGCGAACAGGAUUAGAUACCCUGGUAGUCCACGCCGUAAACGUUGGGCACUAGGUGUGGGGCUCGAUCGACGGGCUCCGUGCCGUAGCUAACGCAUUAAGUGCCCCGCCUGGGAAGUACGGCCGCAAGGCUG